Molecule: ribosomal RNA, 497 nt
Filed under: uncultured bacterium
Lineage: Bacteria
Description: partial 16S ribosomal RNA
Rfam family: Bacterial small subunit ribosomal RNA
Source: RNAcentral
GAUGAACGCUGGCGGCGUGCCUAAUACAUGCAAGUCGAGCGAGCGGACGAGAAGCUUGCUUCUCUGAUGUUAGCGGCGGACGGGUGAGUAACACGUGGAUAACCUACCUAUAAGACUGGGAUAACUUCGGGAAACCGGAGCUAAUACCGGAUAAUAUUUUGAACCGCAUGGUUCAAAAGUGAAAGACGGUCUUGCUGUCACUUAUAGAUGGAUCCGCGCUGCAUUAGCUAGUUGGUAAGGUAACGGCUUACCAAGGCAACGAUGCAUAGCCGACCUGAGAGGGUGAUCGGCCACACUGGGACUGAGACACGGUCCACACUCCUACGGGAGGCAGCAGUAGGGAAUCUUCCGCAAUGGGCGAAAGCCUGACGGAGCAACGCCGCGUGAGUGAUGAAGGUCUUCGGAUCGUAAAACUCUGUUAUUAGGGAAGAACAUAUGUGUAAGUAACUGUGCACAUCUUGACGGUACCUAAUCAGAAAGCCACGGCUAACUACGUG